Molecule: ribosomal RNA, 253 nt
Filed under: uncultured bacterium
Lineage: Bacteria
Description: partial 16S ribosomal RNA
Rfam family: Bacterial small subunit ribosomal RNA
Source: RNAcentral
UACGUAGGGGGCUAGCGUUGUCCGGAAUCAUUGGGCGUAAAGAGCGUGUAGGCGGCCCGGUAAGUCCGCUGUCAAAGUCAAAGGCUCAACCUUUGAAUGUCAGUGGAUACUGCCGGGCUAGAGUCCGGAAGAGGCGAGUGGAACUCCUGGUGUAGCGGUGGAAUGCGCAGAUAUCAGGAAGAACACCAACGGCGAAGGCAGCUCGCUGGGACGGGACUGACGCUGAGACGCGAAAGCGUGGGGAGCGAACAGG